RNAcentral lists this ribosomal RNA (552 nucleotides) under Hipposideros galeritus (Cantor's roundleaf bat). Its description in RNAcentral is "partial 16S ribosomal RNA". It matches the Rfam family "Bacterial large subunit ribosomal RNA", at positions 1802 to 2592 of the family's 2925-position model. The record is from RNAcentral. Lineage: Eukaryota; Metazoa; Chordata; Mammalia; Chiroptera; Hipposideridae.
GUUUUUUCAAAAACAUCACCUCUAGCAUGACACGUAUUAGAGGCACUGCCUGCCCAGUGACAUCUGUUCAACGGCCGCGGUAUCCUGACCGUGCAAAGGUAGCAUAAUCACUUGUUCUCUAAAUAAGGACUUGUAUGAAUGGCCACACGAGGGUUUUACUGUCUCUUACUUCCAAUCAGUGAAAUUGACCUUCCCGUGAAGAGGCGGGAAUGCUUUAAUAAGACGAGAAGACCCUAUGGAGCUUCAAUUAACUGGUCCAAUGAAAACAAAUUACAACCUACCCUAGGCAUAACCACCUUUCAUCUGGCCCAGCAAUUUAGGUUGGGGUGACCUCGGAGCACAGAAAACCCUCCGAGUGAUAAAAGCCUAGACUAACAAGUCAAAGCACCUUGUCACUUAUUGAUCCAAAUCUUGAUCAACGGAACAAGUUACCCUAGGGAUAACAGCGCAAUCCUAUUCAAGAGUCCAUAUCGACAAUAGGGUUUACGACCUCGAUGUUGGAUCAGGACAUCCCAAUGGUGCAGAAGCUAUAAUGGUCGUUGUCACGAUGAG